UGGGGAAUAUUGGACAAUGGGGGCAACCCUGAUCCAGCGAUGCCGCGUGUGUGAAGAAGGCCUGCGGGUUGUAAAGCACUUUCAGUUGGGAAGAGAAGCGACUUGUGAAGAAUGGGUCGUGGAGACGUUACUAAUAGAAGAAGCACCGGCUAACUCUGUGCCAGCAGCCGCGGUAAUACAGAGGGUGCGAGCGUUAAUCGGAGUGACUGGGCGUAAAGGGCGCGUAGGCGGUUAUAUUAGUCUGAUGUGAAAGACCUGGGCUUAACCUGGGAUAGGCAUUGGAAACGGUAUGACUAGAGUGUGGGAGAGGGAAGGGGAAUUUCCGGAGUAGCGGUGAAAUGCGUAGAUAUCGGAAAGAACACUAGUGGCGAAGGCGACUUUCUGGCACACAACUGACGCUGAGGCGCGAAAGCGUGGGUAGCGAACAG
Molecule: ribosomal RNA, 428 nt
Filed under: uncultured bacterium
Lineage: Bacteria
Description: bacterial SSU rRNA
Rfam family: Bacterial small subunit ribosomal RNA
Source: RNAcentral